Molecule: ribosomal RNA, 691 nt
Filed under: Staphylococcus warneri
Lineage: Bacteria; Bacillati; Bacillota; Bacilli; Caryophanales; Staphylococcaceae
Description: bacterial SSU rRNA
Rfam family: Bacterial small subunit ribosomal RNA
Source: RNAcentral
GGAAACCGGAGCUAAUACCGGAUAACAUAUUGAACCGCAUGGUUCAAUAGUGAAAGGCGGCUUUGCUGUCACUUAUAGAUGGAUCCGCGCCGUAUUAGCUAGUUGGUAAGGUAACGGCUUACCAAGGCAACGAUACGUAGCCGACCUGAGAGGGUGAUCGGCCACACUGGAACUGAGACACGGUCCAGACUCCUACGGGAGGCAGCAGUAGGGAAUCUUCCGCAAUGGGCGAAAGCCUGACGGAGCAACGCCGCGUGAGUGAUGAAGGUCUUCGGAUCGUAAAACUCUGUUAUCAGGGAAGAACAAAUGUGUAAGUAACUGUGCACAUCUUGACGGUACCUGAUCAGAAAGCCACGGCUAACUACGUGCCAGCAGCCGCGGUAAUACGUAGGUGGCAAGCGUUAUCCGGAAUUAUUGGGCGUAAAGCGCGCGUAGGCGGUUUUUUAAGUCUGAUGUGAAAGCCCACGGCUCAACCGUGGAGGGUCAUUGGAAACUGGAAAACUUGAGUGCAGAAGAGGAAAGUGGAAUUCCAUGUGUAGCGGUGAAAUGCGCAGAGAUAUGGAGGAACACCAGUGGCGAAGGCGACUUUCUGGUCUGUAACUGACGCUGAUGUGCGAAAGCGUGGGGAUCAAACAGGAUUAGAUACCCUGGUAGUCCACGCCGUAAACGAUGAGUGCUAAGUGUUAGGGGG